RNAcentral lists this transfer RNA (67 nucleotides) under Uromastyx aegyptia aegyptia. It matches the Rfam family "tRNA". From Rfam's summary of the family: Transfer RNA (tRNA) molecules are approximately 80 nucleotides in length. Their secondary structure includes four short double-helical elements and three loops (D, anti-codon, and T loops). The record is from RNAcentral. Lineage: Eukaryota; Metazoa; Chordata; Lepidosauria; Squamata; Agamidae.
AAGUCUUAGCUUAAUUAAAGUAUCUGGGUUGCAUCCAGGAGAUGUAGUUAGAAUUCUACAGAUUUUA